GGUAUUUUAUCGCUUUGCAUGGUUUUUAGAAGAGCACAAUCACACAAGAGAAACCUACAUCAUAUAGGCACUGGCGUAACUAGAACGAUAAUUGAGGGGGGUGAAUAUCCAUGUAUUCAGUUCUGCUUGAUGGAUUUCUUUUCUUCAGCCAAGCUUCGCAAGCCUCAAAAUUCAGUCGAUAUCUGGUCUGUCAGAUUUUAACUUGGAAAAAUCCAUUGUUGGAGAAUAAAGCUGGAAAAGUAAUAAACACGACGUGUUGAAGUUAUCAACAGAGAUUUGAUUAUUCGGUUUACUGAAGCUGGCCAUAGAGCAGGUGGAAACAACCUGAUGCCCUUGUGGAUAUGAUUGUCUAUAUAAAAACUUGUUCUACAUCAUAAAUUACCUUCAAUCGACGAGUGAAAGUGAGGAUGAAAA
Dendronephthya gigantea is the source of this 414-nucleotide long non-coding RNA. RefSeq lists it as uncharacterized. The transcript is spliced from 3 exons. The record is from RefSeq and is a predicted model, not a curated record. Lineage: Eukaryota; Metazoa; Cnidaria; Anthozoa; Malacalcyonacea; Nephtheidae.